RNAcentral lists this ribosomal RNA (688 nucleotides) under uncultured Bacteroidales bacterium. RNAcentral's name for it is "bacterial SSU rRNA". It matches the Rfam family "Bacterial small subunit ribosomal RNA", at positions 62 to 738 of the family's 1533-position model. The record is from RNAcentral. Lineage: Bacteria; Pseudomonadati; Bacteroidota; Bacteroidia; Bacteroidales.
UCGAGGGGCAGCAUUUCAGUUUGCUUGCAAACUGGAGAUGGCGACCGGCGCACGGGUGAGUAACACGUAUCCAACCUGCCGAUAACUCGGGGAUAGCCUUUCGAAAGAAAGAUUAAUACCCGAUGGUAUAAUCAGACCGCAUGGUCUUGUUAUUAAAGAAUUUCGGUUAUCGAUGGGGAUGCGUUCCAUUAGGCAGUUGGUGAGGUAACGGCUCACCAAACCUUCGAUGGAUAGGGGUUCUGAGAGGAAGGUCCCCCACAUUGGAACUGAGACACGGUCCAAACUCCUACGGGAGGCAGCAGUGAGGAAUAUUGGUCAAUGGGCGCAGGCCUGAACCAGCCAAGUAGCGUGAAGGAUGACUGCCCUAUGGGUUGUAAACUUCUUUUAUAUGGGAAUAAAGUUUUCCACGUGUGGAAUUUUGUAUGUACCAUAUGAAUAAGGAUCGGCUAACUCCGUGCCAGCAGCCGCGGUAAUACGGAGGAUCCGAGCGUUAUCCGGAUUUAUUGGGUUUAAAGGGAGCGUAGGUGGACAGUUAAGUCAGUUGUGAAAGUUUGCGGCUCAACCGUAAAAUUGCAGUUGAUACUGGCUGUCUUGAGUACAGUAGAGGUGGGCGGAAUUCGUGGUGUAGCGGUGAAAUGCUUAGAUAUCACGAAGAACUCCGAUUGCGAAGGCAGCUCACUGGACUGCA